CGCCAGCCUGGGGUCGGUGCAAUUGAUAAUCACAAGUCACAACACCAACUCUGACAGCGCCUGAUCAUGUCAUCUAAAUUUACACAGUGCAAGGGAACUAUGACAGCCCAUACUCCAUUAAGCCGUCCCUGAGGGAGAACUACCGGCCGCGCACCAGGUCCCUCAGCUCUCCCAAGAUGCAUCACGUCAGGUUCACCAAGACCACAGAGACCCUGGCGAUGCAACGCUACAUCAGACAGGCGGGCGUGGGGCUGAGCGUGUGCCUGUGCACCCUGAUGACCUACAAGCAUUGAGAGGUGCUGCACUCGUGGGCGUCGCUGCUGAGCCGCUACCCGGACGUCCUGCGCUUCCCCGCC
Long non-coding RNA from Engraulis encrasicolus (European anchovy), 356 nucleotides. RefSeq lists it as uncharacterized. The transcript has 3 exons. The record is from RefSeq and is a predicted model, not a curated record. NCBI's taxonomy places the organism in Eukaryota, Metazoa, Chordata, Actinopteri, Clupeiformes, Engraulidae.